Molecule: non-coding RNA, 556 nt
Organism: Drosophila melanogaster (fruit fly)
Lineage: Eukaryota; Metazoa; Arthropoda; Insecta; Diptera; Drosophilidae
Source: Ensembl
UUUUAUGUUAUGUAAAGGAUGUGAAUUUACAAAAAACACACUAGUGUAUCUGCAGAACAAUAAACAUAAAUAAAUAAAUGGGCUUGUAAGGCUGUUUGCCAAAUUUGCUUGGGUCCACCACGUUUUUUUGAGCCCAUAAGACGACAAGAUUUCGUGUCCUUGAAUGUCCAGUAAGUUGUGCAGAAUCUUGCAAUUUGCUGGCUUACAUGGUAAAGGCAACAUGGGAGCUGGAGCAGCCGAUGCGGCUUGACCAUAAGCCGCUCCAUUUGCAUAAUUAUUCAUUGCGCAGCAUUAUGAGCAUAAAUAAAACGAUGCUCCACUGCACAGACACACAAACACACAAACACCACACACACACACAUACUCAGAAAGGAACAUGUGAGGAUAAUGCCUUGUGGGACAUUAUAAACCCUUGGCCCCAACUAUUUAUGGCCCACAUUACCCACUGAUGCACUUGCAAUCCGACUGCAGCUGACUGCAACGGAAUACCAAUUGAAAUAAUAGUGCAAGGGAAGAUCCAAUCAGCCGCAUAAAGAUUAACAACGCACCAAAGUCG